Molecule: ribosomal RNA, 460 nt
Filed under: uncultured bacterium
Lineage: Bacteria
Description: partial 16S ribosomal RNA
Rfam family: Bacterial small subunit ribosomal RNA
Source: RNAcentral
ACUACGGGAGGCAGCAGUGAGGAAUAUUGGUCAAUGGGCGCGAGCCUGAACCAGCCAAGUAGCGUGAAGGAUGACUGCCCUACGGGUUGUAAACUUCUUUUAUAAAGGAAUAAAACGAGGCACGUGUGCCUUUUUGCAUGUACUUUAUGAAUAAGGAUCGGCUAACUCCGGGCCAGCAGCCGCGGUAAUACGGAGGAGCCGAGAGUUAUCCGGAUUUAUUGGGUUUAAAGGGAACGGUGAUGGGUUGUUAAGUCAGUUGUGAAAGUUUGCGGCUCAACCGUAAAAUUGCAAUUGAUACUGGCAGUCUUGCGUACAGUGUAGGUAGGCGGAAUUCGUGGUGUAGCGGUGAAAUGCUUAGAUAUCACGAAGAACCCCGAUUGCGAAGGCAGCUUACUAAACUGUGACUGACAUUGAUGCUCGAAAGUGUGGGUAUCAAACAGGAUUAGAUACCCGAGUAGUC